CUUUCUAAGAAAAUGUAAUGUGUUGAAAAUAUUGUGGAAAUGGGAUGAAUGUCUCUUUUAAUCAAUUAAUCAAAUUUUACUUAUAAGAAAAGAAAAAAUAUUUCUUUUAAGUAACUAAAACAAUGUUUGGAUGUAUAAUUCAUGCACCAUUGUGUAGCCAAAAUAAGAAAUCAUCAUAUUCAACAAUCUAAAAGGAGAAACAAAUGAGAAGCGAUCAUUUCAUAUUAAAGUUUCCAAAGAAAAAGCAACCAUAAUCAAAAACCAUACAAAAAAUUUAUUCAAUGAAAAUAUAAAUAAAUUAAAUAAUAGUUAAACAAAUAUUGGAUAUACAUGUUUCUUUGAGAGGUUUAAAUUAAGAAAUUGAAAAUUAAAAAAAAAAGUUUAUUGUAUUGUUUACUAAUUUAUGCAAAAAAAAAAAAAAUCUNUAAAUUAAAUAAUAGUUAAACAAAUAUUGGAUAUACAUGUUUCUUUGAGAGGUUUAAAUUAAGAAAUUGAAAAUUAAAAAAAAAAGUUUAUUGUAUUGUUUACUAAUUUAUGCAAAAAAAAAAAAAAUCUCUACUUUUUAUUACAAAAGAGAAACUACCUGAAAAAUCAUCUCUUUGUCCUUCAUUUAUUUGUUCCACCAUGGCUACCCGUUACUAUUCACAAUAAUCAUAGUAGUCAAUUCUAUAAUAUUCUCUCCGACAAUUUUCUUCUUAUGAUGAUUGAAGCAAAUAAAUGAGGAGAGGGUAUAAGAGAAGUCACCCAACUUACUUCUCAGCUUUCAUUUUAUUUGUAAUUAAAGAGCAAAAGAGAAUUUCCCAAAAAGAAAACUUAAACAAAUAAAAAGCAAAAGAAUGGUAGAGGAUGAAAAAAGUUGUACAGAGUGUUUAUCUACUUUCCAUCGGUUUAUAAAGAAAGUUGGAAAAAUCAACUCUAGUAGUUAUGCAAGCAAAUUCUCUUUUAAAUAACUGCACCAUUUUAUAAAUAUAUAUAUAAUUU
RNAcentral lists this long non-coding RNA (981 nucleotides) under Lathyrus oleraceus (garden pea). Its description in RNAcentral is "Pisum sativum (pea) long non-coding RNA (PSAT_LNC020965)". The record is from RNAcentral. Lineage: Eukaryota; Viridiplantae; Streptophyta; Magnoliopsida; Fabales; Fabaceae.